RNAcentral lists this long non-coding RNA (1389 nucleotides) under Dicentrarchus labrax (European seabass). Its description in RNAcentral is "lncRNA (ENSDLAG00005032811.1)". The record is from RNAcentral. Lineage: Eukaryota; Metazoa; Chordata; Actinopteri; Moronidae.
UCUUUUAGCCUCUGGAGGAAACUACUCAGAGGAUGUUCAGUCAUUUGACCAGCCUAAUAAUGGUAAGUGAACCACUUCACGUAACCUCAGGGUGGACAGAUUUUAAAUGUGCUUUGUCUGAGUUAUAGCAAUCAUAGUUUAUGUUUUGUGUUCUCUCAUUUUAGGCUUUUGUGGAAACAUCUUGGCAGAGCUAGAGUCAACAGACCUCUGUAAUGAUGGUAUGCCAAUGUAUAACUCAAGCCCCUACCACAUUGUGCCAUCAGAGCAAGCAAGGAAUGACAUCAGUCCCAGCUAUGCAAAUGGCUCCACAUCAGCUGAGUUCAGAUCCCCUGGCCCGGGUUCAGCUCCAGAUACACCACGGGGAAGAUUCCAUGGAAGGGAGCCCAGCCAAAUGUUGCAAGGCAAGUAUCAUUUUCUGAUCAACUUCUUAACCUUACUGAUGCCAUCUGAACUGAGAAACAUGUCCCUUGUGACAUGACUGUCUUUGUUAGGCUUAACAUUUAAGUGCUUAAUGGUUACUACAAGUUAGGGGUGCAAACAUCAGUGAUUCAUCAGUUGCUUAGUGUCAUUCUAAAUGAUUGAAAAUGGACAAUCUAUCCUUGAAAUGUAUUGUAAAACGAAUUGCUUUUCUUCUAAGACAUUGCUGCCAACAAAAACACCAAGAUGCUUACGGAACUACUCAUGGAGGUGAAGCAAAUGUCACGGGACAUUCAGUUUAUAAAGACUGAAAUCGCUAAAUCCUCCAUGAAUAUUCCUAGAGCAGGUCCUGCAUCAUGGAGAGAAACGCCCUUCCCCAUUGUUCUGCCACUUGCCAAUGAGGAGCAGUUUGAUGAGGCUGAAGCUGCACUGAAGGAGGAAACAGUCCGUCGAAUGAUGGUGAACCAUUUUUAGACUAAGUAUUUUCUUACAUUUAUUGUCAGGAAUUGUAGGUGUGGAGGCAUUAAAGGGAUAGUUAGAAUUUUUUGACAAGAGGUUGUAAUACAUCCUUACAAUCAGUGUCGGGCAUCAGCAGUGAUUUUUCCCUCACUGCGUCCUGUGAGUGGAGUUCUGGCCCGGUUUUGGCGUUGCAGAAAGUAGUUCCGGCUAGUUGCUGGGGUCACAGAGAUAAAGUAAAUAAAUAAUAAAAAAAUAAUAUGCAUUCAAAAGAGUAAUACAUUUGCAUCACGAAUUGUUGGCCGUAAAAAAGUCCGACCUCACAGGGCAUUAUCACACUAAUUUACAAGAACAAGGGGGAAAGGAACAAAAUAGAGAAUUACAGACCAAUAAGUUUAUUAAAUACCGGCUACAAAAUACUCUCAAAAAUAAUUGCAAAUAGGAUCAAGGAGGUGGUGGGGUCAAUCAUUAGCAAUUCACAGGCAUACAGUAUACCAGGCAGGGACAUUGCAGACA